RNAcentral lists this ribosomal RNA (454 nucleotides) under uncultured bacterium. Its description in RNAcentral is "bacterial SSU rRNA". It matches the Rfam family "Bacterial small subunit ribosomal RNA", at positions 340 to 786 of the family's 1533-position model. The record is from RNAcentral.
UACGGGAGGCAGCAGUGGGGAAUAUUGCACAAUGGGCGCAAGCCUGAUGCAGCCAUGCCGCGUGUAUGAAGAAGGCCUUCGGGUUGUAAAGUACUUUCAGUCGUGAGGAAGGUGUUAAGGUUAAUAACCUUAGCAAUUGACGUUAGCGACAGAAGAAGCACCGGCUAACUCCGUGCCAGCAGCCGCGGUAAUACGGAGGGUGCGAGCGUUAAUCGGAAUUACUGGGCGUAAAGGGCACGCAGGCGGUUAAUUAAGUUGGAUGUGAAAUCCCCCGGGCUUAACCUGGGAAUGGCAUUCAAGACUGGUUAGCUAGAGUCUUGUAGAGGGGGUAGAAUUCCAUGUGUAGCGGUGAAAUGCGUAGAGAUGUGGAGGAAUACCGGUGGCGAAGGCGGCCCCUGGACAAAGACUGACGCUCAUGUGCGAAAGCGUGGGGAGCAAACAGGGAUUAGAUACC